This 1429-nucleotide ribosomal RNA is filed under the name Lactiplantibacillus plantarum. RNAcentral describes it as "bacterial SSU rRNA". It matches the Rfam family "Bacterial small subunit ribosomal RNA". Lineage: Bacteria; Bacillati; Bacillota; Bacilli; Lactobacillales; Lactobacillaceae. The record is from RNAcentral.
UGCCUAAUACAUGCAAGUCGAACGAACUCUGGUAUUGAUUGGUGCUUGCAUCAUGAUUUACAUUUGAGUGAGUGGCGAACUGGUGAGUAACACGUGGGAAACCUGCCCAGAAGCGGGGGAUAACACCUGGAAACAGAUGCUAAUACCGCAUAACAACUUGGACCGCAUGGUCCGAGUUUGAAAGAUGGCUUCGGCUAUCACUUUUGGAUGGUCCCGCGGCGUAUUAGCUAGAUGGUGGGGUAACGGCUCACCAUGGCAAUGAUACGUAGCCGACCUGAGAGGGUAAUCGGCCACAUUGGGACUGAGACACGGCCCAAACUCCUACGGGAGGCAGCAGUAGGGAAUCUUCCACAAUGGACGAAAGUCUGAUGGAGCAACGCCGCGUGAGUGAAGAAGGGUUUCGGCUCGUAAAACUCUGUUGUUAAAGAAGAACAUAUCUGAGAGUAACUGUUCAGGUAUUGACGGUAUUUAACCAGAAAGCCACGGCUAACUACGUGCCAGCAGCCGCGGUAAUACGUAGGUGGCAAGCGUUGUCCGGAUUUAUUGGGCGUAAAGCGAGCGCAGGCGGUUUUUUAAGUCUGAUGUGAAAGCCUUCGGCUCAACCGAAGAAGUGCAUCGGAAACUGGGAAACUUGAGUGCAGAAGAGGACAGUGGAACUCCAUGUGUAGCGGUGAAAUGCGUAGAUAUAUGGAAGAACACCAGUGGCGAAGGCGGCUGUCUGGUCUGUAACUGACGCUGAGGCUCGAAAGUAUGGGUAGCAAACAGGAUUAGAUACCCUGGUAGUCCAUACCGUAAACGAUGAAUGCUAAGUGUUGGAGGGUUUCCGCCCUUCAGUGCUGCAGCUAACGCAUUAAGCAUUCCGCCUGGGGAGUACGGCCGCAAGGCUGAAACUCAAAGGAAUUGACGGGGGCCCGCACAAGCGGUGGAGCAUGUGGUUUAAUUCGAAGCUACGCGAAGAACCUUACCAGGUCUUGACAUACUAUGCAAAUCUAAGAGAUUAGACGUUCCCUUCGGGGACAUGGAUACAGGUGGUGCAUGGUUGUCGUCAGCUCGUGUCGUGAGAUGUUGGGUUAAGUCCCGCAACGAGCGCAACCCUUAUUAUCAGUUGCCAGCAUUAAGUUGGGCACUCUGGUGAGACUGCCGGUGACAAACCGGAGGAAGGUGGGGAUGACGUCAAAUCAUCAUGCCCCUUAUGACCUGGGCUACACACGUGCUACAAUGGAUGGUACAACGAGUUGCGAACUCGCGAGAGUAAGCUAAUCUCUUAAAGCCAUUCUCAGUUCGGAUUGUAGGCUGCAACUCGCCUACAUGAAGUCGGAAUCGCUAGUAAUCGCGGAUCAGCAUGCCGCGGUGAAUACGUUCCCGGGCCUUGUACACACCGCCCGUCACACCAUGAGAGUUUGUAACACCCAAAGUCGGUGGGGUAACC